Molecule: transfer RNA, 69 nt
Filed under: Marmota marmota marmota (Alpine marmot)
Lineage: Eukaryota; Metazoa; Chordata; Mammalia; Rodentia; Sciuridae
Also listed under: 1 other name
Rfam family: tRNA
About the family: Transfer RNA (tRNA) molecules are approximately 80 nucleotides in length. Their secondary structure includes four short double-helical elements and three loops (D, anti-codon, and T loops). Further hydrogen bonds mediate the characteristic L-shaped molecular structure. tRNAs have two regions of fundamental functional importance: the anti-codon, which is responsible for specific mRNA codon recognition, and the 3' end, to which the tRNAs corresponding amino acid is attached (by aminoacyl-tRNA synthetases). tRNAs cope with the degeneracy of the genetic code in two manners: having more than one tRNA (with a specific anti-codon) for a particular amino acid; and 'wobble' base-pairing, i.e. permitting non-standard base-pairing at the 3rd anti-codon position.
Source: Rfam by way of RNAcentral
GGGGCUGUGGCUCAGAGGUAGAGCGCUCACCUACCAUGUGUGAGGCACCAGGAUUGAUCCUUAGCACCA